AUUGAACGCUGGCGGCAGGCCUAACACAUGCAAGUCGAACGAGUGGCGGACGGGUGAGUAAUGUUUGGGAACCUGGCUUAUGGAGGGGGAUAACGACGGGAAACUGUCGCUAAUACCGCGUACCAUAGGAUGAGCCCAAGUGGGCUUAGGUAGUGGGGGGGGAAAUGGCCUACCAAGCCGACGAUCCCUAGCUGGUCUGAGAGGGUGAUGAGCCACACUGGAACUGAGACACGGUCCAGACGCCUACGGGAGGCAGCAGUUGGGAAUUUUGGACAAUGGGCGAAAGCCUGACCCAGCAAUGCCGCGUGUGUGAAGAAGGUCUUCGGAUUGUAAAGCACUUUGAGUGGGGAGGCGUUACCUACAGAAAAAGCAACGGCUAACUACGUGCCAGCCGCCGCGGUAAUAC
This 406-nucleotide ribosomal RNA is filed under the name uncultured bacterium. RNAcentral describes it as "partial 16S ribosomal RNA". It matches the Rfam family "Bacterial small subunit ribosomal RNA", at positions 30 to 526 of the family's 1533-position model. The record is from RNAcentral.